This is a long non-coding RNA of Liolophura sinensis, 1493 nucleotides long. RefSeq lists it as uncharacterized. Lineage: Eukaryota; Metazoa; Mollusca; Polyplacophora; Chitonida; Chitonidae. The record is from RefSeq and is a predicted model, not a curated record. The transcript has 8 exons.
UGGUGAAACAACAACCACGUGUGUAUUAUUUACACAUACGUACAGCUAUAGAUUAGGUACCUGUGUGCAGUACCGGUAUGGUACCGAGCAUUUAUAGUUUAAUAAUAACAUAUUUUUAUUAAUGCAUGUACCUUAUAGCAUGAAAAAAUCAUUUAAUCGCAUUUGGUUCGCCUUUAAACGUGUGAAUUUUAAACCUUGAAAUUCCGACUGGGGAUCAGGAUUCAUAUAUAGUUUCGAGCACCCGGGAUCCUGGCAGUGACCAGUACGUCAUAAGUAACAGAGAGCGUGCAUGAAGUAGGACCAUACAAUGUGCACUCUCAUCAAAUGCGCUGUGAAGUUCACGCUGUCAACUCUAAAGUCACAUCGAUGCACCUUGUCAAAAACUCAGGCUUGUUAUCCCCUUCAUAUGGAGCCCACCAAUUCUCUAAGCUGAUGUGUCUAACUACUCAGUGCUCACAAGUGGUGGAGCUGUGCAAGCUUGUUCUUGGAGAGUUCAACAUUGACUGAUACAGGGGGUACAGUUCCAAUAACUUCAGUGUUAUCUGUCGCCGUAAACCAGUGUUCAACCAUUUUCAGCAAUACAGUUCCACAAGAGCAAGAGAAGCCGCACUCAGCACAGGCAAACCUCUCUGUGACGCACACACCCCAAGGCACCUCGCUGUUCAAAUCUCAGUUCAGCCCUUCAGGACAGUAUGAUGUUGUGGUCCAGUGGUAGGCAAAUGCGGUAUUCUACAGCUCGGCGGUCUUUCCCAGGUGCAGCAGUCUGUAGGUGUUUUGCUCAGCUUUUGAUCUCUGGCAUUCAGCCUGCUGGUCUGCCAGCAAGCUGAAGAUGGUCGUGAGUUUUCCCCAAGCUUUGCCCGGUUUAAUACUGGCUAUCAUCAUUAGCUGUCUGGUUGAAUAACAAAUAUUCAUGAAUUUCAUCAUAUUUGGCCACUGUCCUAACAGAUUGACAACUCCAUUUUCUGAUAUGGUGGAACAGUUUGCACUGUCAUCGUUGUCUUCAUCUCAUUGAACUUCAAGCAAAAUGCAAGCCAUCAAUCCAGGACCUCCUACAGAAAUGCAUCCUACACCUUUCACAGACCUAAAUGUACUGUGUGCAGUAAUGCUCGAAUGACUAUACUCGGGAACGUCCAAAUAUGGAGAAGAGUAAACAUUAAUAACAUAUUUGUAAUAAUCAGCUCAUUACAUAUUAUUCUUGCUGAUAGUAUGAGUACAUCAAUGCAGAAAUUGCAAAGUUCUUGCCCACUUGUUAAAGUGAAGGUAGAAAGUGAUAAUAUUUAAAUUGUGUAAUAUAUAUUACAUAUAGGUGAAUGACUUAAAAUUUUACCCCAAAAGUUCAUUUUUAGAGGCAAAUAAAUGUUGUCAGAUAUACUUUUGGUGCGAUAACUUACCUAUUCCUUAGGAUAUCGUCCUACUUUCCAAACAAACCCCAAAACACCUUUAUAACAUUAAUAGAACUCUCAGAAUAAGACACAAGGUACAAUUUUUGUGAU